This 945-nucleotide ribosomal RNA is filed under the name Enterococcus durans. Its description in RNAcentral is "bacterial SSU rRNA". It matches the Rfam family "Bacterial small subunit ribosomal RNA", at positions 67 to 981 of the family's 1533-position model. The record is from RNAcentral. Lineage: Bacteria; Bacillati; Bacillota; Bacilli; Lactobacillales; Enterococcaceae.
CUUUUUUUCCGGGAGCUUGCUCCACCGGAAAAGAAGAGUGGCGAACGGGUGAGUAACACGUGGGUAACCUGCCCAUCAGAAGGGGAUAACACUUGGAAACAGGUGCUAAUACCGUAUAACAAUCGAAACCGCAUGGUUUUGAUUUGAAAGGCGCUUUCGGGUGUCGCUGAUGGAUGGACCCGCGGUGCAUUAGCUAGUUGGUGAGGUAACGGCUCACCAAGGCCACGAUGCAUAGCCCACCUGAGAGGGUGAUCGGCCACAUUGGGACUGAAACACGGCCCAAACUCCUACGGGAGGCAGCAGUAGGGAAUCUUCGGCAAUGGACGAAAGUCUGACCGAGCAACGCCCCGUGAGUGAAGAAGGUUUUCGGAUCGUAAAACUCUGUUGUUAGAGAAGAACAAGGAUGAAAGUAACUGUUCAUCCCUUGACGGUAUCUAACCAGAAAGCCACGGCUAACUACGUGCCAGCAGCCGCGGUAAUACGUAGGUGGCAAGCGUUGUCCGGAUUUAUUGGGCGUAAAGCGAGCGCAGGCGGUUUCUUAAGUCUGAUGUGAAAGCCCCCGGCUCAACCGGGGAGGGUCAUUGGAAACUGGGAGACUUGAGUGCAGAAGAGGAGAGUGGAAUUCCAUGUGUAGCGGUGAAAUGCGUAGAUAUAUGGAGGAACACCAGUGGCGAAGGCGGCUCUCUGGUCUGUAACUGACGCUGAGGCUCGAAAGCGUGGGGAGCAAACAGGAUUAGAUACCCUGGUAGUCCACGCCGUAAACGAUGAGUGCUAAGUGUUGGAGGGUUUCCGCCCUUCAGUGCUGCAGCUAACGCAUUAAGGCACUCCCGCCCUGGGGAGUACGACCCGCAAGGUUGAAACUCAAGGAAUUUGACUGGGGGCCCCGCCACAGCGUGUAGCCAUGUGGAUUAUCGAAAGCACCGCGGAGAAUCCUUUACCCCGAAG